UUGUAUGCCUGAUUCUCAGUUUGCUGUCAGCUGCAGAAAACCAUCCGUUGAUGUUUGGAAGCUGGUGUGGAAUCAACACGGCAGUGCAAACCUGGUGAAGGUGCUGACAUAUUCCGUGUCGGAUGUAAUGAUCCACCUUAUCUACUGCUCCAUCCUGAUUGGUGUGUCCCAAAGCUCCGUCAUAUAUAAUGUUGCGUACACGGAGGAAAACAAGUGGAACCAAAUGAUCCACACUUGGAAUGAAAACACACAAGUUCUGUGGCU
Thalassophryne amazonica is the source of this 264-nucleotide long non-coding RNA. RefSeq lists it as uncharacterized. The record is from RefSeq and is a predicted model, not a curated record. NCBI's taxonomy places the organism in Eukaryota, Metazoa, Chordata, Actinopteri, Batrachoidiformes, Batrachoididae. The transcript has 3 exons.